UUUUUUGUACGUUUGGUUUUCGAGUGCUAACAACGAAUUGUAUGGACAGUCGUUCGCGUGCAGCGGUGGCGAAAGGAAGAAAAAGUGCGAUUAUGGGGGCUGCCAGUGAAACACAGAAACUUUGCUUGUGCGAACUCGUGAAUGUUUUCCUUUGAAAAUGUGUGUUGCUGUCGUCCAGAGGGGCGGUGGAGGGUGCACAUAUUCGAAAAGUGUGCGCGCGUGUUUAAAUUCGUACAAGGUGAAAGCAAAGAGAAUCAUCAGUUAUACUAUAAAAACAAUAAACAAUUAUGCGGACAAUAUCGCAAGCUGAAAUAAACAAAAAUUGUGAGAGGUGUUUGAUACUCGGUAUUACGUAUGCAUGUGAAAGAUUCCAAGAUAAAUAAAUUUCAUACAAAUCCAGUUUAAUAUUUUGUUAUUCUGUGAAAUUUGUUACAAAACGGAAGCAACAAAAAUUAACACUGGAAAGCGUGCACGAAAGGAUAACACCGUGGCAAAAUUCGCGCAUUUGGCGCCUGACACGCAAACGACAGCAAAGUUCAACUUCCUAGAAAUACUAUGCACCAUUGUCCACGACGACGGCGGCGACGGCGUUGGCGAUGAUGUUGACGUUCGACGACUUUGCUGGCUUCGUCAUCGCUGGCUCGACGAGUGCGUCAUGCAAGUAACGUUCACUUCAGUUUCUGACCUUUCGGCACAAAUACCAUAGCUUCGCUAUAAAAAGAUCUUUUGGCUGCUGGCAGUGUGGGGAUUUCAUUCAUAAACACUUUUCGGCAAACGACAAUGGUCUGCACUGCGAAAAGCGAGGGAAGCCAAAUUUCACAAGUUGAAAAUUUCAAACAGAAAAUAAAAAUGUAUGUAGUAUGUGCAAAUGUAUCCAUUUGUAAUGUGUUCAUUCAAAUUGAGUACAAAGAUUGAGUAUAUAGGGAGUGUAAAGGGAUAUAUGUACGUAUGUAUGUAUAGUAUAUACAUAAAUAUUAUGUGCUCUAAAUUGAGAGUACCCUAGACACAUACACAGCACAUCAGUUUGUCUGCCAAGAGAAAGAAUUCAGCAGAAAAAAUUACCUCAAAUUUUUCCAAAAAUCCGAGAAUUUAGGUGAAUAAACUUUCGAUCAGGGAUGCUCAACAAACUAGUAUAUGAAUUGAUUUCGUUUUGUUCAUGGCCGAAAAUAACAUAUCAAAAUAAUUUCGUUACGUUUCAAGCUCUUCGCACUCACGUGUUUUGGGCUCUCUCUUCUUAUUGCGGCAAAUACGUUUCGCUUCUCUCACCAGUUCUCUAUAAUGAUCACACAUGGCUCGCGUUGUGCCUCGCCGCAGCAUUGCCCUGCAGGUGACAUCUUUUUUCCCUGCAGUUUCUUGACACUCCUCAUCGUACGCGUUGUUCUUUCGGGCAAUAUCAUUCUGAAGAAAACACUCAAUCUUAUCGCUAUUUUCAAUAAAGAAAUUAAUAUAUGCAGGGCUGCCAAGUUGGCUCGAACCGUGCCAUUUUUUACCCUAUUGUACUUUAAAUCGCAUUUCAUUUUCCAAUUUGGCACAAACUGCUUUUAUCACCGAUGAUUCCUUAAAGCUUUGGGAUCGAUACUAAACCGUUUUGGGCUACCUUAAUCUACCUACAGUAAGAAGUAAGGAAGAAAUCAACACCAUGUGUUAUGCCCAAAAAAAAAAAAACCACAACGAGAAUGCGCAAAGAGCAAAUAGCAAAGAGCUUUUUUUUUGAAAAUGGAAUUGCAAACUUGCCUCUACAAAGUUUUUAUUACAAAGUUACUGAGUGUAAAUAAAUAGAGGUCUCAAUUAAAUGAAUAGUGUAAUACGCUUAAAAGCUGUGUAGUAAAAAUAUAGCGUCAUUUGGUACAUAAAAACAACAACUGGUGUGUUUAUUGGACUUGGCUGUCACAAAGCCAAUAAAGUAGAAGCACACGUAACGUUAAUAACAGACAUUUUGUAAAUGUAAUAAAAAAUUUUAUUUAAAAUUUUGAUUGGCAUAUAAAUUUUCCGAAUUAUUGGAUUGAAAUUAUACUGCAAAUUUUUUAUUUACAGUCUUCAUAUGUAUUGCUUU
Rhagoletis pomonella (apple maggot) is the source of this 2053-nucleotide long non-coding RNA. RefSeq lists it as uncharacterized. The transcript has 3 exons. The record is from RefSeq and is a predicted model, not a curated record. NCBI's taxonomy places the organism in Eukaryota, Metazoa, Arthropoda, Insecta, Diptera, Tephritidae.